RNAcentral lists this transfer RNA (73 nucleotides) under Ictidomys tridecemlineatus (thirteen-lined ground squirrel). Its description in RNAcentral is "Spermophilus tridecemlineatus (thirteen-lined ground squirrel) tRNA". It matches the Rfam family "tRNA". Rfam says of the family: Transfer RNA (tRNA) molecules are approximately 80 nucleotides in length. Lineage: Eukaryota; Metazoa; Chordata; Mammalia; Rodentia; Sciuridae. The record is from Rfam by way of RNAcentral.
GGGGAUAUAGCUCAGUUGGUAAAGUGCUUGUCUUGCAUACACAAAGCCCUGGGUUCAAUCCCCAGCACCACUG